This 29-nucleotide non-coding RNA is filed under the name Rattus norvegicus (Norway rat). Lineage: Eukaryota; Metazoa; Chordata; Mammalia; Rodentia; Muridae. The record is from RNAcentral.
UAGGACAAAAGGAAACUAAAACAAAGUGA